Long non-coding RNA from Cyprinus carpio (common carp), 1208 nucleotides. RefSeq lists it as uncharacterized. The transcript has 2 exons. The record is from RefSeq and is a predicted model, not a curated record. Lineage: Eukaryota; Metazoa; Chordata; Actinopteri; Cypriniformes; Cyprinidae.
UAAUGCACUUGGUUGAACGUGCUUAACAGCAUGUUUGUAUGUUGCUGUUAUCACUUUGGUCAAAGUCAAGUGUCUGAGUUCAUUCUUCCAAUCAGGAUGGAAAGGAGGCGGGAUUUGGAAGAGAGCGAGGAAGAUUGAAAAUCAGUCGAGAGAGAGACGUGAGAGAAGCAGGAUAUUGUUUAGACAGCCAAGGAUUUUAGGCCAUAAAAUCCAAAACGGUUCCAGCGAUUAUCCUGAAGGAAAUAUAAGAAACAGUGUUUUAGACCAUAAAACGUAUAAGUUUCUUGAGUAUAGUCAGUAUUUCGUCAACAUAGAGGUAUUACUCGUGCCUUUAUAGAGUGAACGAGCGAAGAGUGUGACGCAGUAUUUAGUUUGGAGAAACUCGGGAUUUUAAGUCAUAAAAUCUUUUAUUGUUUCUAUCGAUAUUCAUGCAUGCAUUUGUCUAGCGAUACUACUCGUGCUGCUAGAGAGAAAGGAAGGAGAAAGAUUAUAAAGAUUCGUGAUUUUGAAUGAUUCAUUGAAGUGAACUGAUAGUUUAUCGUUUGACUGUUUCAACACGAGAAGAUGGAUGGAGGACGUCACCAGAUAGCCCUGUGAGUAGGCUACCGUGAACUCAACAGGUCCUCUGGCAUCGUUGGAUGACCAAUUCGACGCAUCACCAGAUAGCCCUGUGAGCGCCGUGAGCUCAACAGGUCCUCUGGCAUCGUUGGAUGACCAAUUUGACGCAUCACCAGAUAGCCCUGUGAGCGCCGUGAGCUCAACAGGUCCUCUGGCAUCGCAGGACGUCGCGUUUCACCUGAAGAGCUGAAUCAUCGUGCACCAACCCAAACAAUCUGAUCAGCGAGGUAACACAGACUUUUUAAAUUGCUCGGCUGAGCGAAGGGGCCUUUGUUUACUGGUCACAACGAUCGCUAAUCUCAAAUCAGGCCUGCAACGGGGUGGGUUUUAAAGGGAUUCGUGUGUGUGUGUGUAUGAGUGAGUGUGGAUCCACAAAAUUAGUUAAUCUGACCGGUCUUAAGUAUUUCACUGUGAUUUUCUUAUUUGAGCUGAUUUAUACUGUUAAAGUUAAGGGUUGUUAAAGUUUUGUACCAAGAGGAACACAAGUUGUUAGUAUAAGUUGAAGUGUUAUAAGUUAAUGCUAUAGAAAAGUAUUCACUUGAUGUGGAAAGGUAAAUUUCAGUUUGUGAGAUAAUUUAAAGUGAACGACA